AACAUUAAUAAUAACCUCUGAAACGCGCCCAAUCUCGUCUGAUCUCAGAAGCUAAGCAGGGUUGGGCCUGGUUAGUACUUGAAUGGGAGACCGCCUGGGAAUACCAGGUGCUGUAGGCU
Molecule: ribosomal RNA, 119 nt
Organism: Cavia aperea (Brazilian guinea pig)
Lineage: Eukaryota; Metazoa; Chordata; Mammalia; Rodentia; Caviidae
Source: Ensembl